This 1148-nucleotide ribosomal RNA is filed under the name uncultured Prochlorococcus sp. Its description in RNAcentral is "bacterial SSU rRNA". It matches the Rfam family "Bacterial small subunit ribosomal RNA", at positions 122 to 1303 of the family's 1533-position model. Lineage: Bacteria; Bacillati; Cyanobacteriota; Cyanophyceae; Synechococcales; Prochlorococcaceae. The record is from RNAcentral.
GAAUCUGCCCUCAGGAGGGGGAUAACGGUUGGAAACGACCGCUAAUACCCCAUAUGCCUAUUGGUGAAAUGAAUUUCGCCUGAGGAUGAGCUCGCGUCUGAUUAGCUUGUUGGUGAGGUAAUGGCUCACCAAGGCUUCGAUCAGUAGCUGGUCUGAGAGGAUGAUCAGCCACACUGGGACUGAGACACGGCCCAGACUCCUACGGGAGGCAGCAGUGGGGAAUUUUCCGCAAUGGGCGAAAGCCUGACGGAGCAACGCCGCGUGAGGGACGAAGGCCUCUGGGCUGUAAACCUCUUUUCUCAAGGAAGAAGAUAUGACGGUACUUGAGGAAUAAGCCACGGCUAAUUCCGUGCCAGCAGCCGCGGUAAUACGGGAGUGGCAAGCGUUAUCCGGAAUUAUUGGGCGUAAAGCGUCCGCAGGCGGCUUUUCAAGUCUGCUGUUAAAGCGUGGAGCUUAACUCCAUCAUGGCAGUGGAAACUGAAAGGCUUGAGUAUGGUAGGGGCAGAGGGAAUUCCCGGUGUAGCGGUGAAAUGCGUAGAUAUCGGGAAGAACACCAGUGGCGAAGGCGCUCUGCUGGGCCAUUACUGACGCUCAUGGACGAAAGCCAGGGGAGCGAAAGGGAUUAGAUACCCCUGUAGUCCUGGCCGUAAACGAUGAACACUAGGUGUCGGGGGAAUCGACCCCUUCGGUGUCGUAGCUAACGCGUUAAGUGUUCCGCCUGGGGAGUACGCACGCAAGUGUGAAACUCAAAGGAAUUGACGGGGGCCCGCACAAGCGGUGGAGUAUGUGGUUUAAUUCGAUGCAACGCGAAGAACCUUACCAGGGCUUGACAUCCUGCGAAUCUCUGGGAAACCGGAGAGUGCCUUCGGGAACGCAGUGACAGGUGGUGCAUGGCUGUCGUCAGCUCGUGUCGCGAGAUGUUGGGUUAAGUCCCGCAACGAGCGCAACCCACGUCUUUAGUUGCCAGCAUUUAGUUGGGCACUCUAGAGAGACCGCCGGUGACAAACCGGAGGAAGGUGUGGAUGACGUCAAGUCAUCAUGCCCCUUACGUCCUGGGCUACACACGUACUACAAUGCUACGGACAAAGAGCAGCUAACUCGCGAGAGUACGCAAAUCUCAUAAAACCGUGGCUCAGUUCAGAUCGUAG